CCUACGGGAAGCUGCAGUGAGGAAUAUUGGUCAAUGGACGAGAGUCUGAACCAGCCAAGUAGCGUGAAGGAUGACUGCCCUAUGGGUUGUAAACUUCUUUUAUAAAGGAAUAAAACGAGGCACGUGUGCCUUUUUGCAUGUACUUUAUGAAUAAGGAUCGGCUAACUCCGUGCCAGCAGCCGCGGUAAUACGGAGGAUCCGAGCGUUAUCCGGAUUGAUUGGGUUUAAAGGGAGCGUAGAUGGGUUGUUAAGUCAGUUGUGAAAGUUUGCGGCUCAACCGUAAAAUUGCAAUUGAUACUGGCAGUCUUGAGGACAGUUGAGGUAGGCGGAAUUCGUGGUGUAGCGGUGAAAUGCUUAGAUAUCACGAAGAACCCCGAUUGCGAAGGCAGCUUACUAAACUGUGACUGACAUUGAUGCUCGAAAGUGUGGGUAUCAAACAGGAUUAGAUACCCUAGUAGUC
This 460-nucleotide ribosomal RNA is filed under the name uncultured bacterium. RNAcentral's name for it is "partial 16S ribosomal RNA". It matches the Rfam family "Bacterial small subunit ribosomal RNA", at positions 338 to 795 of the family's 1533-position model. The record is from RNAcentral.